Molecule: ribosomal RNA, 1163 nt
Filed under: Salmonella enterica
Lineage: Bacteria; Pseudomonadati; Pseudomonadota; Gammaproteobacteria; Enterobacterales; Enterobacteriaceae
Description: bacterial SSU rRNA
Rfam family: Bacterial small subunit ribosomal RNA
Source: RNAcentral
GACCUAGGAGGGGGACCUUCGGGCCUCUUGCCAUCGGAUGUGCCCAGAUGGGAUUAGCUUGUUGGUGAGGUAACGGCUCACCAAGGCGACGAUCCCUAGCUGGUCUGAGAGGAUGACCAGCCACACUGGAACUGAGACACGGUCCAGACUCCUACGGGAGGCAGCAGUGGGGGAAUAUUGCACAAUGGGCGCAAGCCUGAUGCAGCCAUGCCGCGUGUAUGAAGAAGGCCUUCGGGUUGUAAAGUACUUUCAGCGGGAAGGAAGGUGUUGUGGUUAAUAACCGCAGCAAUUGACGUUACCCGCAGAAGAAGCACCGGCUAACUCCGUGCCAGCAGCCGCGGUAAUACGGGAGGGUGCAAGCGUUAAUCGGAAUUUACUGGGCGUAAAGCGCACGCAGGCGGUCUUGUCAAGUCGGAUGUGAAAUCCCCGGGGCUCAACCCUGGGAACUGCAUUCGAAACUGGCAGGCUUGAGUCUUGUAGAGGGGGGUAGAAUUCAAGGUGUAGCGGGUGAAAUGCGUUAGAGAUCUGGAGGAAUACUGGGUGGCGAAGGGCGGUCCCCUGGACAAAGACUGACGCUCAGGUGCGAAAGCGUGGGGAGCAAACAGGGAUUAGAUACCCUGGUAGUCCACGCCGUAAACGAUGUCUACUUGGAGGUUGUGCCCUUUGAGGCGUGGCUUUCCGGAGCUAACGCGUUAAGUAGACCGUCUGGGGAGUACGGCCGCAAGGUUAAAACUCAAAUGAAUUGACGGGGGGCCCGCACAAGCGGUGGAGCAUGUGGUUAAAUUCGAUGCAACGCGAAGAACCUUACCUGGUCUUGACAUCCACAGAACUUUCCAGAGAUGGAUUGGUGCCUUCGGGAACUGUGAGACAGGUGCUGCAUGGCUGUCGUCAGCUCGUGUUGUGAAAUGUUGGGUUAAGUCCCGCAACGAGCGCAACCCUUAUCCUUUGUUGCCAGCGGUCCGGCCGGGAACUCAAAGGAGACUGCCAGUGAUAAACUGGAGGAAGGUGGGGAUGACGUCAAGUCAUCAUGGCCCUUACGACCAGGGCUACACACGUGCUACAAUGGCGCAUACAAAGAGAAGCGACCUCGCGAGAGCAAGCGGACCUCAUAAACUGCGUCGUAGUGCGGAUUGGACUCUGCAACUCGACACCAUGACGUUGGA